UUUUGUUCACAAAAAGAGUACAUACUUUUAGGGCGUAGUAUAAGUAGGCGAAUUGGGACGCAGCAUCUGAUUCAUUUAGGAGCGAAAAACGAAAUUGAGUCAUUGAAUCGUGAUACCAAAUAAUUGAAUCGUGACACUGACUCGUUCGGGAACAAAACAUAAACAGCACUGCUGUGUUGUUGGUAUUGUAAAACUUGCAACGGUUCUUCUGUUGCUUUGUCUUGUCUUAACUGUCUUCGUUGGUGAAUCAGACUGACAAUGUUGUGUCUACAAUCUUGCAAGCCCACUUUCAUUAUGUGAAAAGGAGUAGACAAGAUUUUCACCUAAUCACCUUUUGUGUCCUUGGAAGAAAUAAAUACCUUUGUGUUUGGAGCAACAUGAAGGUAAACACCUCGGGGGGAAAUGACUGCUUUGUGUUGUACCUUCUCAGCAGUUUACAAUUGAAGUCAGUGGUCACCAAAAUUGUUUGGUUAUCAAAAUUCUCCAAAAUAUCUUCAUUCGUAUUCCAUGGAAGAUAGAAUGUCAUCCAGGUUUGGAAUGACAUGAGGGUGAGUAAAUGAUGACAGAAUUUUCAUUUUUGGAUGUAUACAUUUCCAUAGGAUAAUUGGAUAAAGCCAGGUUCAAAAUUCUUGUUUCAUUUUGUUGACAUUUUAGAGUCAAAGAUUUUUACUGA
Megalobrama amblycephala (Wuchang bream) is the source of this 673-nucleotide long non-coding RNA. RefSeq lists it as uncharacterized. The record is from RefSeq and is a predicted model, not a curated record. NCBI's taxonomy places the organism in Eukaryota, Metazoa, Chordata, Actinopteri, Cypriniformes, Xenocyprididae. The transcript is spliced from 4 exons.